AUGAUCCGUGAUUUCUGGUGGGGUGCGAGCCAAGGACAUCAGCGUACACACUGGGUGGCUUGGGACAUCAUGCUUCGCCCCAAAUCUUAUGGUGGCAUGGGGUUCCGAGAUAUGAAACUCUUCAACCAAGCCUUGCUUGCCAAGCAGGCCUGGAGACUGAUUGAGAAUCCACAAAGCUUAUGUGCUCAGGUACUGAAAGCAAAGUACUACCCAAAUGGCUUCCUGGUUGAUAUUGUAUUUAUGGGCAAUGCGUCCUCAUCGUGGCAAGCUAUCGAGUAUGGG
This 282-nucleotide ribosomal RNA is filed under the name Triticum aestivum (bread wheat). RNAcentral describes it as "partial small subunit ribosomal RNA". The record is from RNAcentral. Lineage: Eukaryota; Viridiplantae; Streptophyta; Magnoliopsida; Poales; Poaceae.